ACGCUCAGCAUUGUCCUUGCCAUAGCCGUGCCCACCGGCAGCCGGUUCGUAGAAGUGCGCCUCGUAGCCCAUCGCCUGGAGCUUCGCCGCCAUCUUCCGUGCGUGGCCGGGGUGGACACGAUCGUCGCGCCGGCUGGUCGCGAUCAAAAUUGGCGGAUAGGCUUGCCCUGGUACCGCAUUGUGGUAGGCGGAUAUCCCGCUCAGGAAUUUCCAGUCCUCCGGCUCGUCCGGAUCGCCGUAUUCGGCAAUCCAGCUCGCGCCGGCAAGCAGUUUCGAAAAGCGGC
Molecule: unclassified non-coding RNA, 284 nt
Filed under: uncultured fungus
Lineage: Eukaryota; Fungi
Description: sequence contains ITS1
Source: RNAcentral